Molecule: ribosomal RNA, 432 nt
Filed under: uncultured bacterium
Lineage: Bacteria
Description: partial 16S ribosomal RNA
Rfam family: Bacterial small subunit ribosomal RNA
Source: RNAcentral
AACGAACGCUGGCGGCAUGCCUAACACAUGCAAGUCGAACGAGACCUUCGGGUCUAGUGGCGCACGGGUGCGUAACGCGUGGGAACCUGCCCUUAGGUUCGGAAUAACUCCCCGAAAGGGGUGCUAAUACCGGAUAAUGUCUUCGGACCAAAGAUUUAUCGCCUUUGGAUGGGCCCGCGUUGGAUUAGCUAGUUGGUAGGGUAAAAGCCUACCAAGGCGACGAUCCAUAGCUGGUCUGAGAGGAUGAUCAGCCACACUGGGACUGAGACACGGCCCAGACUCCUACGGGAGGCAGCAGUGGGGAAUAUUGGACAAUGGGCGAAAGACUGAUCCAGCAAUGCCGCGUGAGUGAUGAAGGCCUUAGGGUUGUAAAGCUCUUUUACCCGGGAUGAUAAUGACAGUACCGGGAGAAUAAGCUCCGGCUAACUCCGU